GCAGCAUGUCAGUCUGGUGUGAAAAGACAGCUGGCAGAACUGUGCGCUGCAGAGGGGGAGGCUCCAACCCGGGCCCUUCCGAGAGUGACAGAGGCGUUAUCGUGAUUAACCUAGGCCGUGGGCCAGGCCUGCCCUGGGCGAACUGGAAUAUCACGUCACCCUAGCUUGAGGUCCCUGUGGUCCAUGGAGAGCCCCAGGGAGUUGGAAAGGCUUAGGGAGAGUUGCGUAUGCACGUGUCCAGGCUGUUCCUGUCCAGAAUUUUUCUCCUGGGCCAGUUACAAGAUGGGGAAGGACAGGCAGGAGGAGAGGCCAGGGAGGGAAUGCUGUCCGGCCCGUCUCUCUGUGGGCAUCCCCCCACCAGGCUUGGGAUUCCCCUGAGGAGCCAGCCCCGGGUGGAAACCUGAGGGGCUGCUGCAGACACAGGGUGGUAUCUCUGACGUCUGAUCACAUGGGCCCUGGGGAGUGAUGCCCACAUCCCGGGUGGCCCUGGGGGCUGCAGCCUCCCUCCCCAGAAGGCCAGCAGGGCAGGGCUUGGCUGGCAGAGCCCCGAGACGCUCAGGGACGGUCCCAGCGCUGCUGGCCUCCCCUUCCCCGUGGGCACCCCUCUGUCUGGUGAGUGAUUCUGAAAGCUGGAGAUGAACAGCAAGGAAACCGCCAGGUGACACAGAAGAAUGGGAAAGAGGACCAAGAGAGGAAUACAGGCAGGGUGCAGGGGAAGCAGCAGGUUGUUGACUAAGAACGCAGAGAUUCUUGCUUCCUGGGGCCGUGGUCUCCUGCCCGAGGGAAGUCUGUGGCCCGGAGCCCAGAGCGGCGACCCUUGGGGGCCCUUUGGAACGUGUCGGGACGGGAGGAAGCAGCCAAGGCCGGAGCUGGGCCAGCAGGCUGGGCCUGCCCUCCCACCUUUCAGUGACCAGGGCCCACUCUGUGAUACAGGGGUCUCCCCACAGGGUCAGAAACAAGUCGCUUCAUGGAAACCCUCCUCCUCAUCGGCUGAGAAUCCUGCCACUCGCUAACAGUUUGCAGGGUAGAAAUGCCUUCCUGCAGGUCACAGCUCUGAAGGUGUUCGCUCCCAGUGACUAGUAAUUGCAUGGCACUGUGUGAGGAUGUUGGGCUCAGCAAAAUCUUCUUAGAGAUCCUCAUCGUGAAAAUAUGUUUUUUCCGCUUUAAUAGGUGAUGAGGUAAAAUGGUACUUCAUUUUAAUUUACAUUUCUUUGAAUACAAAUAAGAUUGACAAUCUUUCCGUAUUUAAUUCCUCUUCCGUGAACUGUCCGAUCAUGUCCUUCACACAUUUAUCUAUUAUAAUCGUAGGUGUUUAUUACUUUGUAUGAACUGUUUAUUUAGGAGAAAUCACUGCCCCGUUUGUUUCAAAUAUUUUUCCAGACUUUUCUCCUUAGCUGUUUUUCAUGGUUUUUAGUUUUACAUUUCCAUAGAGUCAGAUUUGUUGCUCUUAGCAAUUUCCAAGUUUAAAAUGUCAUUUUCUCUUUGACAAUCUAAGAACAUUCAGUUCUAUUCUUGUUAAAAAAUAAUUUCCUUUCGCCUUUCUUAACCCACUUGCAGUGUAACCUUUUUUUCAGAUUUCUUUUCAACAUUCC
Long non-coding RNA from Equus caballus (horse), 1592 nucleotides. Lineage: Eukaryota; Metazoa; Chordata; Mammalia; Perissodactyla; Equidae. The record is from Ensembl.